UAAGGAGUAUUGGUCAAUGGACGCAAGUCUGAACCAGCCAUGCCGCGUGAAGGAUGAAGGUCCUCUGGAUUGUAAACUUCUUUUAUCUGGGACGAAAACGGGAUUUUUAUCUCAAUUGACGGUACCAGAGGAAUAAGCACCGGCUAACUCCGUGCCAGCAGCCGCGGUAAUACGGAGGGUGCGAGCGUUAUCCGGAUUUACUGGGUUUAAAGGGUGCGUAGGUGGGCUUAUAAGUCAGUGGUGAAAUCUCCGAGCUUAACUUGGAAACUGCCGUUGAUACUAUAGGUCUUGAAUUAUCUGGAGGUAAGCGGAAUAUGUCAUGUAGCGGUGAAAUGCUUAGAUAUGACAUAGAACACCAAUUGCGAAGGCAGCUUACUACAUAUAAAUUGACGCUGAGGCACGAAAGCGUGGGGAUCAAACA
This 421-nucleotide ribosomal RNA is filed under the name uncultured bacterium. Its description in RNAcentral is "bacterial SSU rRNA". It matches the Rfam family "Bacterial small subunit ribosomal RNA", at positions 355 to 774 of the family's 1533-position model. The record is from RNAcentral.